GGGGGGGGGGGGGGGGGGGGUGGACGCGGGCGGGGCGAAGGGAAGGGCGCUGCUUUGGUGGGGUGCUCGAGUGGGGAACGGGUGAGGAACACGUGAGUAACCUGCCCGUGACUUUGGGAUAACUUCAGGCAACUGGGGCUAAUACCGGAUAGGGGCUCCUGCUGCAUGGUGGGGGUUGGAAAGUUUCGGCGGUUGGGGAUGGACUCGCGGCUUAUCAGCUUGUUGGUGGGGUAGUGGCUUACCAAGGCUUUGACGGGUAGCCGGCCUGAGAGGGUGACCGGCCACAUUGGGACUGAGAUACGGCCCAGACUCCUACGGGAGGCAGCAGUGGGGAAUAUUGCACAAUGGGCGGAAGCCUGAUGCAGCAACGCCGCGUGCGGGAUGACGGCCUUCGGGUUGUAAACCGCUUUCGCCUGUGACGAAGCGUGAGUGACGGGAAUGGGUAAAGAAGCACCGGCUAACUACGUG
RNAcentral lists this ribosomal RNA (468 nucleotides) under uncultured bacterium. RNAcentral describes it as "partial 16S ribosomal RNA". It matches the Rfam family "Bacterial small subunit ribosomal RNA", at positions 27 to 507 of the family's 1533-position model. The record is from RNAcentral.